Molecule: ribosomal RNA, 671 nt
Filed under: uncultured bacterium
Lineage: Bacteria
Description: bacterial SSU rRNA
Rfam family: Bacterial small subunit ribosomal RNA
Source: RNAcentral
AGCGGCGGACGGCUGAGUAACACGUAGGAACAUACCCCAAAGUGAGGGAUAAGCACCAGAAAUGGUGUCUAAUACCGCAUGUGAUCUUCGGAUUAAAGCCUUGUGCGCUUUGGGAAUGGCCUGCGUAUGAUUAGUUUGUUGGUGAGGUAAUGGCUCACCAAGACUACGAUCAUUAGCUGGUCUGAGAGGAUGAUCAGCCAGACUGGAACUGAGAACGGUCCAGACUCCUACGGGAGGCAGCAGUAGGGAAUUUUCCACAAUGGACGAAAGUCUGAUGGAGCAACGCCGCGUGCAGGAUGAAGGCCUUCGGGUUGUAAACUGCUUUUAUAUGUGACGAUAAUGACGGUAGCAUAUGAAUAAGGAUCGGCUAACUCCGUGCCAGCAGCCGCGGUCAUACGGAGGAUCCAAGCGUUAUCCGGAAUUACUGGGCGUAAAGAGUGCGUAGGUGGCAUAGUAUGUCAGUAGUGAAAGCGUGUGGCUCAACCAUACUCACAUUAUUGAAACUGCUAAGCUAGAGGAUGAGAGAGGUUAUUGGAAUUCCCAGUGUAGGAGUGAAAUCCGUAGAUAUUGGGAGGAACACCGAUGGCGUAGGCAGAUAACUGGCUCAUUCCUGACACUAAGCACGAAAGCGUGGGUAGCAAACGGAAUAGAUACCCCGGUAGUCCACGCGA